RNAcentral lists this ribosomal RNA (256 nucleotides) under uncultured bacterium. RNAcentral describes it as "partial 16S ribosomal RNA". It matches the Rfam family "Bacterial small subunit ribosomal RNA", at positions 524 to 776 of the family's 1533-position model. The record is from RNAcentral.
UACAGAGGGUGCAAGCGUUGUUCGGAAUUAUUGGGCGUAAAGGGCGCGUAGGCGGUGCGGUAAGUCUGUAGUGAAAUCUCUGGGCUCAACUCAGAGUCUGCUGCAGAAACUGCCGUGCUUGAGUGUGGGAGAGGUGAGUGGAAUUCCCGGUGUAGCGGUGAAAUGCGUAGAUAUCGGGGAGGAACACCUGUGGCGAAAGCGGCUCACUGGACCACAACUGACGCUGAGGCGCGAAAAGCUAGGGGGAGCAAACAGG